AUUCAACGCUCGCGGCAGGCCUAACACAUGCAAGUCGAACGAGUGGCGGACGGGUGCGUAAUGUCUGGGAAACUGCCUGAUGGAGGGGGAUCACUACUGGAAACGGUAGCUAAUACCGCAUCCCAUCGGAUGUGCCCAGAUGGGAUUAGCUAGUAGGUGGGGUAAAGGCUCACCUAGGCGACGAUCCCUAGCUUGUCUGAGAGGAUGACACGCCACACGGGAACUAGGACACGGUACAGACUCCGACGGGAGGCAGCAAUGGUGAAUAUUGCACAAUGGGCGAAAGCCUGAGGCAGCCAUGCCGCGGGUAUGAAGAAGGCCUUCGGGUUGUAAAGUACUUUCAGCGGGGAGGCGUUACCCGCAGAAGAAGCACCGGCUAACUCCGUGCGAGCAGCCGCGGUAAUAC
Molecule: ribosomal RNA, 406 nt
Filed under: uncultured bacterium
Lineage: Bacteria
Description: partial 16S ribosomal RNA
Rfam family: Bacterial small subunit ribosomal RNA
Source: RNAcentral